Molecule: long non-coding RNA, 5887 nt
Organism: Brassica napus (rape)
Lineage: Eukaryota; Viridiplantae; Streptophyta; Magnoliopsida; Brassicales; Brassicaceae
Exons: 2
Source: RefSeq, a predicted model, not a curated record
AGACCAAUCGCGGGCCGCCAGGACACGUGAGGCCCGCGCUACAGUGAUGAACUUUAGGAGAAAGGGGUUCAGCCAAGAGAGCUUUAGGAGAGAGAGGUUCAUGGGAUUGAAUUAUUUUAUUAUUAUUUUUUCUUGAUUUUUGUGUGAACUCCCCCCAUAAAUCUUCAAUGGGGGUGCUCUUAGGGUAUCCACAGUUGGAGUCUUUUACAAAAAUAUAACAUUUAAUUAAUUAAAUCUUUCAAAAAAAAUUGAAAAAAAUAGCAUGAGUUUUUCAAUAUUUUGAUAGACUCUCCAUUAUAAAUGUAUAAUAUUUAAUAUAUGUAAGAAACUUUUCUUGAAAAAUCCUUGAUGGGAUGGCUGUAGAAAGAUAUUGCUGUGGGGCCUUCUUGACUCAGCGAUGCGUGAGUAAUAGCGCGCCAAUCAUUCAGUUCUAACUUCUAUCCAAUCAUUUAGCUGGCCGGAGGCCCGAAGCCUUGUAGGAGAAGAUGAUGUUGGGUCGAUUUAGAAAAAAAAACAUAAAAUAAGAAAAAUUCGUUGGCAGUGAAGAUAAGAAGUCGAGAGUGAUCUUGAAAAACAUGCAGUGUCGGGCAUGACAUAUUAAUCAAGUGGCCCACCAUACCCUGUUACCACUCGCCUCUUUCACCAACAAUGAAGAACACAAAAGGCUGCAUGCACGGCCCCUAGUAGAAUUAUUUUGGAUUGAUAUAUAUGUAGUUUUUUUUUUUUUUGCUAAAUUGAUAUAUGUAUAUGUAGUUUUCUGAGUGUUUUAGUUUACUCGCAAGUCCCUCGGCAUUUUCUCCUUUAGUGAGACUUCCUUGUAUGAUUUGAUUUUUUCGUGUAGCCGCCUGCCUUUAAUGGUCUUCCAAUACAUGUGUUUUUUUUCUCAUCUCCUCUGCUUCAUCACCUCUUGAUUUGUUCUCUGAUUUUUUUUUAAGCUCCAUUGAAACUAAAGAUGAUACCUCUCACUAUUUCCCUCAACAUAAACUGAUAUUUUGACAAACAAAUGUUUUCAUACAUACUAGUUGCAUGUCUUUCAAAGUUCGUGAUCAAUAAAGAUUUGCAUUUCCGCCUCCAGAUCUUUCUUUGACUUGCAACUUGCAUGAGGUUUUCUUGCUUCUUUUUGCUUAACAAAUACAAAGACAAAAAAAAAAGCAAAUAACCAAAAUGAAGCAUGAGCAUGAGUCAAACAAGACAUUAACCGGGUUGAAGAAUCGUCUCCUACUGUUAUCGCGGUUUAAGGAAUCUCACCGAUUUGGUUCGGUUAAUCCUUAACCGAUUCAAUUGCUUUAGCCAAUUUCUAUAACAUUACGUGUUACAUCCACGUUGAUUCUUACAAAAUUCAAUUACAUGAAUAUUUUUAGUGAAUUAAAAUUCCAUUCAAUUGCCAUUGCUAAGUUUUUUUUAUAACUUCUUCAUUCGAUUAGUUAAUAGAGUUUUCGUAUUAUAUAACAAAUUAGAAAUGAAAUUUGGUACAUAAAAAUGAAAAACAGAGUGUUGUUGAGAAGGGUAUUGUUUGUCUCGCCAAAGCAUCAACAACUCUAUUACAAUCUCUUUGAAUCCACAUAAAUUUAGUAUCGUCAAACUGUUGUCUCCACCAAAAUUAUUUUAUUUCCUUUUUAUUAAUAAAAUUUAAUUCAUCAUUAAUUUUAAUUUUCUUUUUAGAAAACCAUUUCUAUUAAUAAAAUUUAGCUCUUUCUACAAUAAAAUUUAAUUUAUCAUUUUAAUAAAUAAUAAAAAGAAAUAUUAUAUAGAUUUUGUAUAUAUAAAAUAUUUCAUAUAUUUUGUAUGAACAACAGAAAUUAAAAGAAAGAAGAAGAAAAUAGAUAUAAAUAUUCAAAAUACAUCAGUUUAUAAUAUUAUUUGAGAAGUCAGUUUUCUAACGUGUCGCACUCACGUUAAUUCUUACAAAAUUCUAUUACAUGAAUAUCCUUAAUGAAUUAAAAUUACAUUCAAUUGCCAAUACUAAAAAAAAUUUUAUUUUCUUUUUUCAUAAAUAAAAUUAAAUUCAUCAUUGCAAUUUUAAUUUCCUUUUAGAAAACCAUAUAAAUAAUAAAAAGGAAAUACUAUAUAGAUUUUUUUAUAUAUAUAACGAUUUUUACUUUAUAUUUGGGGAAAUUUUACUUAUACACUUUACAUGAUACCACUUUUCACUUAUACCACCACUCAAAGGACAUUUUCAUAAAUAGCACAUUUAUUAAUUGGUAAAAGACUAAACUAACCUUAUCUUUACUUCAAUCUAUCGUCUCUUUCUUCUCCACCAUCGUGAUCCUUCUUCUCUCUCCUUUCGGAUCCACCGUCUCUCUCUCCGUCGGAUCCACCGUCUCUCUCUCCGUCAGAUCUGCCGUCUCUCUUUCCGAGAUCCAUCGUCUCUCUCCCUGUGGAGAUCGUUCUUCUCUCUCCGUUGAGAUCUGUCGUCAUCUCCGACGAGAUCCAUCGUCGUCUCCAUUGAAUUCCAUCGUCACUCUCUCUCACGCAUCUAGCGAUAAGCAAUUACGAGAAUCACGAUUCAAAACCUCAAAGAUCUUGGCUCCUCUCCACGAUUCACACUGGAGAGCUUUGUGUUUGGAGCCAGACAAAAACAAACAGUGCAACCUGGCCAUCUGCUUGAUGCGUAUGGGUCGAAUCCCAGAAGCUAAAUCUCUGAUUGAUGCUGUGAGAGAUUCUUCUGCAGAGAUUGAGUUCGGAGAUGAACUGUUCACGAAGUCUUACGACAGAGCCGGUGAGAUGUUAGCAGAAGUGGAAUCCUAAAGAUCCAGAAGAUGGUCUUUCGGAUAAGUUCUAUGCGGGAUGUUCAUUUGCAAACGGAACAAUGAAGGAAAACAAAGCUCCUCGAAACGCAAACAGGAACCACUCGCAUGUUCCUCCUUCUUCAGCAUCUGUUAGACAAACGUGAGAGAGGCUCUGUUGGUCCUAGGAUGGAUGAAACUGGCCCUUAUCUUCUCACUGAGAAGGUUGAUCAAUUGCAAAGUUCUGAUACAAGGGAAAGGAAGGUAGUCUUGCUGCAGCUUGGGCUCUAGCUAAUCUAUAUUAUCUUGCAUGUUAGAAACCUCUUAUAAGGGUUUAUAAAAUAUUUAUAAGAACUUAUAAAUCAUUUAUAAGGUUUUAUAAAUAUAUUUAUAAAAGUUUAUGAAUCUGUAUAUAAGGGUUUAUAAAAAUAUUAUAAGAGUUUAAUAAUCUUCAUACCACAAUUUAUAAGAGUUAAUAAAUCUUUUUCAAGAGUUUAUAAAUCUUUACAAACAUUUAGUAGUAAAAUAUUCAUAAAGCAAGUGUCUAUAAUUCUAAUAUAAAUGUUUGUAAAUUAUUAUAAUAAAUAAAAGAUUAUUUAUAAUGGUUUAUAAAAUAAUUAAUAAGACUUUAUAAAAUCAGUCUAUAAAGUUUUUAAAUAUAUUAUUAAAGUAUAAUUCAUUUAUAAGAGUUUAUAAAAUCAGUUUAUAAGGCUUUAUAAGGAUUAUAAAUAAUUAAUAAAUAUUUAUGAAUAAUUUAUGAAGAUUUAAAAAUCAUUUAUAAACCUUUAUCAAUAGUUUAUAUAUAUUUCUCAUGUGGUGGAAAACAGCGAGAUGAGGCAGCAGAGGUUCGUGGGGAUAUUGAGUUUGCUGUAUAUCGUUGCGUUCUUAGCUAAGAAUAAGAGCGAGUGUCUCCAAGAAGAAUGGGGAGUGUUGGAGAAGUCUCCGGAGGCGGCUUUAGAUGUGGAUCAGGCGAUCUUCGUGGCUGUUUUGUGGUGAAUUAUAGAAUAUUUAUGGAUGUUGAAUUGUUCUUGAGUGUAGAUUUGCUCAUGAAUCAUGAUUGAAUCUUACCGAGUCUAUAUAUAUAUCCUUUAGUUGAUUGUGGAUGAUGUUAAUCAUGUACCUCUGUUUGCUAAGAAAAUCUGAGAAAUGAUAUAAUUGUUUUAUAAAGAAGAGGCAGAAAAACCAUAUCAAAUUAUAUCAUCAUAAUAAAAUCCUUAUAAGGCUUUAUAAAGAUAAUAAAUAAUUUAUAAAUGUUUAUAAAUCAUUUAUGAAAAUUUAGAAAUCAUUUAUAAACCUUUAUCAAUAGUAUAUAUAUAUUCCUAUAAAUGAUUUAUAAACCUUUAUAAAAUCACUUAUAAGAAUAUACCAAAUAUUUAUAAGGUUUUAUAAAAUCAUUUAUAAAUAUUUAGAAAGGUAAUUUCAUUUAUAAAGUCUUAAAAAUAAUUUAUAUGAAUAUAUAGAAACUUUUUAUACGAAUAUAUAGAAACUUUUUGUAAGGGUCUAUAAAUCAUUUAUAAGAAUUUGUAGAAUAUCAAAAGGUAAUUAUUUUAUGAAGUCUUAUAACAGUUUAUAGAGGCUUAUAAAUCUGUAUAUAAGGGUUUAUAAAAAUAUUAUAAGAGUUUAAUAAUCUACAUCGCAUAAUUUGUAAGAGUUAAUAAAUCUUUUUCAAGAGUUUAUAAAUUUUUUAUAAGAUUUUAUAAAUCUUUACAUUUAGAAGUAAAAUAUUCAUAAAGCUAUUAUAAGUUUAAAAAGUAAAAUCGGUGAUAUAAAUACAUGAAGAUGCUUGUUACUAAUUUUUUUUAAAAAGAAACUAGAGUAAAUGUAAAGUACAAAUGAUUUACAGCUUACAAUCACUUAUAAAAACACGUGUUACACAUAUAUAUUACAGAAAGACAUGUGUCUUGUUUCUCUUAUAUGUGUCAAGAACAUAUAUAUUACAUAUAAAAACACGUGUCUUCUCUCUUUUUCUGCAACUCCAAUCUUCUUGAAAAUUGUGUUUCUCUCUGAAAACAUAAAAACAUACGGCUAAAUAUAUAUAUAUAUAUAUAUAUUGUUUUACGGUUUUUUUUAUAAGGCCUUAUAAAUAUAAAAAUUGUAAUAAAUACCUCAAGCGGGUUACCUUUAUAAAAUCACUUAUAAAUUUUAUAAGAGCUUAUAAAACAUUGUAUCAAUCAUCUAUAAAAUUUUUAUAACAUAUAUAAAUAUUUAUAAAACUAUUUAAAAGGGUUUAUAAAACUAUUUACAAAUACUUAUAAGCUAUUUAUAAGAGCUUUUACAUUUAUUUAUAAGUGUUCAUAAAUUAAUUUACAAGGUUUAUAAAUCUAUUUAUAAGAGUUUAUAAAUCACCAAAUUAACCAACUUUCCACCAUUUCUUUGCUUAUUAAAGAACAUCAUUCUUUUACAGUUUCUUUUAUAAGACCUUAUAAAAAGGUAUAAUUGAGCAUUAAGAUGAUUGAGCAUUGAGAGAUACUUGGGGUUUCUGAAGUUAUAAUGGUUUAUAAAAAUUUAUAAAGGGUUUACAAAACCACAAUGUUAGAUGAACGCCUCAGUUCUGCAGAUGCACAUAAUGUAUCCAGACCAUAUAUAUAGCUUUCUAGGACCUUUCUCACAGCAAUAGCAAAAGCCUGAUUAACAAGAAUAUAGCAGCUCUUGUUAUUGGCUUCUUCAUUUUCACCUACUUUACAGCUCCCCCCUGUCUCUCAACUUCCAACUUGAAGUUCAUGAAAUGAGUCUACGAAAUUAUGGAGAAGAAAGACCAAAGGACCAAAAGAGCCUAUGUUUCAAAGAAUCUGUCCCAAGGCGUCAGUGCUUGAUAACCGAUGCCACAACCUCAGACUUUGGUGGGUUGUCCUAUCAGCUGGCUCAGAGCAUAAUCCAUAAGAGAGCUUCUGUAUGCUAAUAAGAGAAGACUCAACACUUUGCAGGGCAUUCAAUACCAACCUAACCAAGCUUAAUUCCUAUUAAAAAGCAACAAAAUUGUUAGAGAAUGUGGUCAAAAGUAGAAGUAGUCUCAAUAUACGUCUUUUAUCUAAGCACUAAAGAUAUUCCAUUGUUCUGUAAUUAAUUACUAAGAAUAGAAAUCUGAGAACAUCACAUCGUAAUCUUCCCUAAGAUAAUUUUUUUUGUAACUCAAUACAAUACAUCGAGUACUAAACUCAAAU